Molecule: small nuclear RNA, 107 nt
Organism: Ictidomys tridecemlineatus (thirteen-lined ground squirrel)
Lineage: Eukaryota; Metazoa; Chordata; Mammalia; Rodentia; Sciuridae
Source: Ensembl
GUGCUAGCUUUGGGAGCACACAUAACUAAAGUUAGACCAACACAGAGAGGAGGAGCACGGCCCUGCACAAGGACAACAUGCAAAUUUGUGAAACAUUAUAUAUGUUA